This is a long non-coding RNA of Rosa chinensis, 1786 nucleotides long. RefSeq lists it as uncharacterized. NCBI's taxonomy places the organism in Eukaryota, Viridiplantae, Streptophyta, Magnoliopsida, Rosales, Rosaceae. The record is from RefSeq and is a predicted model, not a curated record. The transcript is spliced from 3 exons.
UGUCACACUGACGCGAGAGAGAGAGGGAGGGAGGGAGAGGGAGGGAGAGAGAGAGAGGGAGAAGAGUCAUCGCCCUUUGAAAUCUGCUCUCUUCAUUUUUGUGGGAUUAAAUUUGUGUUUACUUUGCUUGAUUACCGGCAAAAAAAAGAGACUCCAGACGAGAGAAAAAAGAGAGAGAAGGGAUUCAUCGCCACAAAAACCUCAAAACUCAUUACCCGCAGCAUCGCCUGGGCGAGUUUCUCAGUUCUCGCGCAACCCGUUGGGUUCCGUUCACGGGCCAUCAGGUCGAGAGAAACUCAGUAUGCGCGACCUUUUUCUAGACCCGACGACCGGCGAACGCAACCCAAUCUGAACUUCUCCGUCCGGCGAAGACACCGCGGCGCACCGGUGUCGUUUGGUUUGUCCUCUCGCCGCGGUUCCUUUUCUAGCAUCGGUUGGUCCAUUCGCUGGGUGUAGAGAGAGAAUGGAAGACGACAAGUUUUGUGUUUCGCGACGAUUUUGCAGAGUUUUCCGGCGACUCCGGUCACCAUCAACGAUGCGUGAGGUAUGAAACUUCUUCUACUCUUCAAGCUGUACACGUUGAUAUACAUGGUUUUUGAUUUCGAUCAAGUUUGGAAGAGUUGCCAUUUUAGGUGAUUUCGGCCUCCGUCGAAAUCCACUGUGCGCGGUGGCAGUUUGGCUUUUCUGGGUUCAUUUCUCACCUUAACGCCUGUCUAUGAACAACUGUUGAUGCUAGAUUAUUUUUGAAUUGAAGAUAUUGUGAAAUUGGAAGUGAAUUCGAUCCAGAAGUGGGUCACCUGAGUUCGUGAGAACUUAAGGACAGUACGGCUGCUGUUUGAGGUUGAAAUUGAAUUAGAACUCUAUUGUGGAAUUGAAAGCUUGUAAUCAAGAUUUAGGGACUCCAGUUACCCAGAACGUAAAAGUGGUGGUGUUGGCCUAGAAAAGUGAUUGGAGUUAAAAACUGUGAUAUUCCAGGUAAGGGAUUCUGGACUUGCCUCAAUUAGUGUUUUUUAUGCAUGUAUUCUUACAGAAAUUAUUGAUGCAUGAGAAAUCUGUUUUUGAUUUUUUAUGAGUUAUUGUUUGAUGAAAUGAGAUUGAGAGAGCAUAGCAACUUCCUUGGGCUUUGAUCCUGUAAACCUCCGGAGGGGAUUUAUGGAGGAAAUAGUGUCUGAAAUCUGUUGAGGUGUGGCAGUACUUCUAAAUGAUAUGGCAUAAGUGGACUCUCGCUACAAUAUUAUUUUGGUAAGGUUGUAGUUGGCAUAGAGACCGGUCAUCAGGAUAUGGUUCGGCGCAGCCGAAUUCGCCUACAGUAAGGACUUAGUUUCUGGUUUGUUUUGGUUAGGUGGAGAUUUUGUACAAGAAUUUCCCAGAAAACGUUUUAUCAGAGUUUUGAGAGAGAUGAAUCUAUGGAAAUUGAUACUGUGGAAAUGGGAGGUGCUGAUUUUGGUUUCGAUUUGUGGGAGGCUGGUUUCGGGUUGGAUUAGGAUUAUGGUGUUCUUUGUGGAGAGGAACUCAUCCUAAGGAAGGGACUGUUAUAUUUUGUUUAUGGGAUCAGGAAGGCUGUUUAGAACUAUAUUUGGCUUGGCCUUAUUUGAUGGGUUGGCAUUUCGGGUUGAUCAAGAAGGGUGAGAAGGAAACAAAUGGUAGAAUCCAAACGAAGAAGAAGAACAAUUUGUACUGAGGUAUGAAGUAGAAGAAAAAAAAAUUUGAUAUUGCAGAGAGGGGGGAGAGAGGUUUGGAGAAGAUGAACAGUAAAAGGACAUAUUUACCCUCAAAAAUUGCCACG